UACGGAGGGAGCUAGCGUUGUUCGGAAUUACUGGGCGUAAAGCGCACGUAGGCGGCUUUGUAAGUUAGAGGUGAAAGCCCGGGGCUCAACUCCGGAAUUGCCUUUAAGACUGCAUCGCUAGAACGUCGGAGAGGUAAGUGGAAUUCCGAGUGUAGAGGUGAAAUUCGUAGAUAUUCGGAAGAACACCAGUGGCGAAGGCGACUUACUGGACGACUGUUGACACUGAGGUGCGAAAGCGUGGGGAGCAAACAGG
This 253-nucleotide ribosomal RNA is filed under the name uncultured bacterium. RNAcentral describes it as "partial 16S ribosomal RNA". It matches the Rfam family "Bacterial small subunit ribosomal RNA", at positions 524 to 776 of the family's 1533-position model. The record is from RNAcentral.